GUACACUCCUACGGGAGGCAGCAGUAGGGAAUCUUCCACAAUGGGUGCAAACCUGAUGGAGCAAUGCCGCGUGAGUGAAGAAGGUCUUCGGAUCGUAAAGCUCUGUUGUUAGAGAAGAACACGUGCUAGGUAACUACUAGCGCCUUGACGGUAUCUAACCAGAAAGUCACGGCUAACUACGUGCCAGCAGCCGCGGUAAUACGUAGGUGACAAGCGUUGUCCGGAUUUAUUGGGCGUAAAGGGAGCGCAGGCGGUCUGUUUAGUCUAAUGUGAAAGCCCACGGCUUAACCGUGGAACGGCAUUGGAAACUGACAGACUUGAAUGUAGAAGAGGAAAAUGGAAUUCCAAGUGUAGCGGUGGAAUGCGUAGAUAUUUGGAGGAACACCAGUGGCGAAGGCGAUUUUCUGGUCUAACAUUGACGCUGAGGCUCGAAAGCGUGGGGAGCGAACAGGAUUAGAAACCCCGGUAGUCCCA
This 474-nucleotide ribosomal RNA is filed under the name uncultured organism. Its description in RNAcentral is "partial 16S ribosomal RNA". It matches the Rfam family "Bacterial small subunit ribosomal RNA", at positions 331 to 797 of the family's 1533-position model. The record is from RNAcentral.